This 465-nucleotide ribosomal RNA is filed under the name uncultured bacterium. RNAcentral's name for it is "partial 16S ribosomal RNA". It matches the Rfam family "Bacterial small subunit ribosomal RNA", at positions 28 to 507 of the family's 1533-position model. The record is from RNAcentral.
GAUGAACGCUGGCGGCGUGCUUAACACAUGCAAGUCGAACGGAAAGGCUCCUGCUUGCAGGGGUACUCGAGUGGCGAACGGGUGAGUAAUACGUGGGUGAUCUGCCCUGCACUUCGGGAUAAGCCUGGGAAACUGGGUCUAAUACCGGAUAGGACCACAUUUUGGAUGGUGUGGUGGAAAGUUUUUCGGUGUGGGAUGAGCUCGCGGCCUAUCAGCUUGUUGGUGGGGUAAUGGCCUACCAAGGCGUCGACGGGUAGCCGGCCUGAGAGGGUGUACGGCCACAUUGGGACUGAGAUACGGCCCAGACUCCUACGGGAGGCAGCAGUGGGGAAUAUUGCACAAUGGGCGCAAGCCUGAUGCAGCGACGCCGCGUGGGGGAUGACGGCCUUCGGGUUGUAAACUCCUUUCGCUAGGGACGAAGCGCAAGUGACGGUACCUGGAGAAGAAGCACCGGCUAACUACGUG